AUCCAUCUGACGAGUCUCAUAUAGGACGAAACGCACAUCCUAGAU
Molecule: non-coding RNA, 45 nt
Filed under: Schistosoma curassoni
Lineage: Eukaryota; Metazoa; Platyhelminthes; Trematoda; Strigeidida; Schistosomatidae
Source: RNAcentral